AGUUCAUAACGAUUAGGUGAAAUUCACUUAUAUUCUAGCAUCAAAUUCAUGCAUGUAAAUUAAGCGUGCACUCUCAACCAACAUACACAAAUCAGUUUUUAUACGAACGGAUAAGUAAAUUGAAUUCACAACUUAUAAAUCACAACUGAAGGUAAUCAAUUCAUAUUACAAAUAUAAUCAUGGUUUCGAAUUAACCUCUAACCAACAUAAAUUUAAUUACACAUUAUUAAAAACAGAAAUAAAAGAGAAGUUUGGAAAAAUUAAACCGAAAGUAAAACAUAAGUUGGAAAGAUUUAACCGAGAGAGAGAAGGCUUGCAGCUUCUGUCCACCUGACGUUGUCUCUGUCCUCCUCCCAUCCGCGCUACUCUCUCCUCCCGUCCGCGCAAGCUUUCUGUUUUCAAGGCUGCAAGGGCAGCUUUUUCUUCUCUGACCCUCUCUUGGCUGUCCCGUAUAUAUUCCUCUGCAUGCCUUCCAAUCCCGUGCCUGCUGUCCUUUCCCACGCUGGUUCUCAAAACUCUCACGCUGCCCAAAAGGGCAGCUCCCUGUGCUCACCCUGUCCCUUGCGUCUCUGCGAGCUGCCCAAAGGCAGCUCCCCCUUUUUCUUCUCCUUGGUGUGCUGCAAGGCAGCUUUCUUUUAUUCUUUUCUUUCUGGCAGCCUUGCUGCCUUUUUCCCUUGGAUCCGUAGCUGUCUCCCACUAUUUAUUUCUGUUUUCUUUCUUUUCUGCCUUUCAACCCCGUGAGUCUCUCACUUUCCUCCUAUUUUUAUUCCAUUGUUAUGCCUUUCUUCCUGCCACAAAACAUGAAUCAUGAUGAUGUUUCAAACAUCAUCAUGAUUUAUCAUUAUUAUUAUUUUUUUAAUUAAUUUUAUUUAAAAGCUGAUCUACACAGACAGUUUGACGAAUUUAUUACAUAAAAUUUCACUUGUUCUAUUUUUAUUUUCUUUGCAUAACAAAUCCUAUAAACACAAAAAUAACGUAAAUAGCUCAAAAAUAAAAGAAACUAACUAAGAAAAGACGAGUGAAUUCGAAGUAAAAAUAUAUAUAAAUAUGAUCCGAUCAAAUACCCCCACACUUAACUUUUGCUAGUCCUCGAGCAAAACAAAGAAAAUAAGAACAAGAAGUAACAAGAAAAACAUUAGCUUCCCUCUAUGUGACCCUCAUAGAAUUUCAUUCAAGAAAACAAAUCAUCAAGAACCAUAGCUAGCAUCAAGGAACUAAUCCAAGUUCAUCUUCCUUAUUCAAAUAUUAGCAGUAAUCUUUAAAUCAUCCUUGAAGUGUAGUGUGUGAGAUAGCCAUGCUAAUGCAAUUUCAAGUUUUUAUUUUUAAAAUCAUCAUAUGCAAACUAGCGACCUUCUCACGGGAUAUGCACUGAAUCACACAUGUGUUUAGUUUUAAUGUGUUUUGCUCAAAGAAUCAAAUGUGAAAUUUCUACCAUAAGCUUGCAUAAAGAUCUCAUCUCCACAAUCAUAAUUGCAAAACUUAAAUCAAGAGGACUUUUAUUGGAUGUAAUGAGGCUUAGGGAUAGGGUUAUUGAAACGAAAGAAUAGGAAAACACAAGUUCCAAGCUACAUUGCAAGCAAUUCUUUUGUUUAGAUUUAUAAGAACUCAAUCUUUCCAACGAUUCUUCUGAAACCUCCAAUCACACCCUUAAACUGAAACUUUAAAAACAUUAUUUUUUUUUUCUUUUCUUCGUAUACAAUCUUUCUUUUUCUUUCUUUUUUUUUUUUUUUUUUUUUUUUUUUUUUUUUUUAAUACAAACAUGAAAUACCCCCACACUUAUUUUUUUUUGCCAAACACCUUCAAAGUACUUUACAAACAUUUCUCAUAAGACAAUCUCACAUUGCUCGCUUGGAAAGGGUAAGGAAAAAUGUUUCAGGUAUAAGGGUAGACAUAUCUGGUGAUAAGAAAUAAAAGGCUCAACAUACACGGCUCAAAUUGGCAAUCUAAUGAUAUCAAUUUUCUUUGGGAAACAUGGUUCUUUGGGCCAUAGUGGUAAACCUAAUGCCUCUAUCAUUUCCAAGUUCAUGCAAUCGAUGACAAACAUUUCGAAAGAUCGUUACGCAAGUUCUAGAGAUGUAUCUCACAUAAGUUCAUCACACAUGAAAGAAUAGGAGUGUAUGAAAAAUGCACACACUUUCAAUCGGCUCAAAAACUCACAUAGGAUGUAUAUAUGGUCACUAAAUUCACAUAUGAAGCUUUAAGUCAUACUUUAGUUUCACAUUAACAAGGCUAUGUGCAUUUGGUUUUUCAAAGAUGAUCAAACAUGUACAAAACUAACAAGAGAAUUAGGAAUUUCACAAAACACAUGUUAACUAAGUUCUUGAUGAUCAUGGUUCAAAUUUGAUCCAAUUAUAUCAUUGGGUCGGGAAACUAACAAAAAUCUAAUUCAAAACAAUAAGGGAAACAAGACAAUAUUUUUAGAUUUUUAAAUUUUCCGAUUUUUUAUUUAAAUUUUUUUUUUUUUUUUUUUUUUUUUUUUUUUUAAAAAGAAAACAAAACUAAUUAAGAACACAAAAAACAGCAACACAGAAACAAAUGAAAUUCUGGAGAUUUCUACCCCCACACUUAAACUGGACAUUGUCCCCAAUGUCAGAAAACACUAUAAUGCAAAUAAAAAAAUAAAAUAAAAUAAAUAAAUAAUAAGAAACAAAAUAACGCAAUUGGACUGAAAACUUCCCUAAUUUGCAGUAAAAUCAAGCGAUGACCCCCAAGCUAAAAUUCUGCAAUCAACUUCAAGGGUGGAAAUAACCAAAAGUUCCUGCAAAGAAAAGGAAAAAUUCAGUUAAGUACGCAAGAAAAUUAAUUAAAAAAAAUUGCAAACGAAAAAUUGAAAAUUACGAUAAAAGAUAAUGAAUAAAACUAAUAAAUAAUCAUUGGUCGUGCUUGUUGACUUUCCACAGCUUUCCUCUUGAACAGGGUGACACUUAGCUUUUCACUUGCAAGUGAUGAUUUUAUGAUAUUGUACGGCGAAGCUUUGCUCUUUGGUUAUGUUGCAGUUCCUUAUUUGUUCUCCAAGCAGAUGUGGCAGCUUCUCUAGUUCCUCAGUUCGGACUCCUUCCGCUGGGAUGAUUGUGCAAGCUGCAUUCUUCUCUGCUUGUUUCUCUUCUGCACAACGGGCAGGCACGAGGGAAAGGUGUUGGUCCUUAUUUCUUUCUUCAAUCUUUCCAAGUGCCCACCUCUUGCUUUCUUUCUCCUUGUCCCUAGCUGAAUUGUCUCCACAUGCUUCGAGGUCUCAUUUUCACCUCCCUUACUUGUCCCCCAAGUAGAUGUGGUAGACAAAACGGAAGCAUAAGAUGAAGAAGAUGAGUACUCGAGAGCAAGGCUAGGUAAGCAAUCAGGAAAGGGUUCCAGGCAGUUGGCUCCAGAUUGGAAGAUUGAUACCAAAUGCUGGCUGAUUGCUCUCUUUCUCCUUGUCGGAAAACAAAGACAAGGAGAAAGGACAUGGAGAAAGCAUGAUAUGAGAUACUCUUGCUUUCAACCUUUAUGAUAUGAAAUACUUUUGCUUUGAAUGGGUUGUUCGCUGGAGUAUCCCAAGGAAUGAGGAACACAGAGUGACUCGAGAGGAUUCUUUGGGAAUGCAUUUUCGGAGAUGAAGAGGUGUUGAGAGGGUGUGCUGAGAGAGUGUGCUUUUGCUGUGGAAGGCGAAGGUAGAAACUUAUAGGACUUGUCUUCACAACCGGAACUGUUCUCUCACUCAUUGUCGGCAGCCGGUGGAUGGGUGAAGAAUACAAAUUACGCGCUUUCUGACAAAGCUGCCCGUAAUUUCCGCAAAGCUGAUUCCUCAUUGAUAUCUGUAAUCGGCGCUUCGAGCUCUGAGCAUCGUCGAUUGUAGAGGUAGCAUGUGACACGUGCGGAUAAAUCUGGAAAAAGAAGAUUUUCCCGUGUGGGUUGAAGCCCAGCUUUUGAGAAAGCUAGCGUGUCUUUGACUGUUGAAUUUCCCUCUUCGAUUUCUGAAUUGGUGCUUCGACAAAUUGCCCGAGAUUUCCGCAAAGCAAUUUGCGUGUGACAAGUGACGACACGUCUGGACAAAUUGAUCUUUUGAAAUCCGGGGUUCGGCUCGUGGUUUCUGAGCAAGCCCAGCCUUUAAGAAAUGAAACGCCUCUUUUGAGAAAAGAAUCCGGCUUUUGAGAAAGGAAACUCCUCUUUUGAGAAAAGAAUCAGACGUUUGAGAACGGAGCCCCGACUCUUCGAUUUGCGAGAGGACGCUUCUCUGAGGAGCGCCUCUUUGAUUUCUUCCUUUUUAUAGAGACGUUAAGCUUGUUCCACAACACACUUGAGUACCCUCCUGUAAACACUCCCUUCUUGCACUUGUUUAAUCUUGAUCAUUCCGACUCUCUUCUUUCUUUACCACCUCUGAAAAAUGUCUGGCCCUUCUGAUCGUCGUUUUGACUUGAACAUUGGUGAAGAGGCAGCUCCGCCUUCACCAGACAACAUAUGGCGGCCAUCCUUCAUAUCCCCUACCGGUCCCCUUACCGUGGGGGAUUCGAUGAUGAAAAAUGACAUGACCGCUGCGGUGGUGGCCCGAAACCUUGUCACUCCCAGAGAUAACAGACUGCUCGCAAGGCGGUCUGAUGAAUUGGCGGUCAAGGAGUCUCUGGCUCUCAGUGUGCAGUGUGCGGGUUCCGUAUCCAACAUGGCCCAACGCCUAUAUGCCCGAACCCGUCACGUUGAAUCCUUGGUGGCUGAAAUACAGAGUCUCAAGCAAGAGAUUAAAGGGCUCAAGCAUGAGAAUAAGGAAUUGCACAAGCUCGCACACAGCUAUGCCACCAGCAUGAAGAGGAAGAUUGACCAGAUGCAGGACACCGAUGGUCAAAUUUUACUUGAUCAUCGGAGGUUUGUGGGUUUGUUCCAACCGCAUCUGCCUUCGUCUUCUGGGGCGGCACCGCGUAGUGAAGCUCCAACUGAUCAACCUCUGCCGCCUCCUCCUUCUGUGGCCCCGCCGACUGCUGAAGCCCCGCCUACUACUGAAGCACCACCCGACCAAUGAAUACUAUUAGUUUACAUCAUUGUAAAAUAUUUGUACUUUUUUUUUUUUUUUUUUUAAUUUUUUUUUUUUUUUUUUUUUUUUUUUUUUUUUUUUUUUUUAUGUAAAUUAAUGUAAAGAGACUUUGGUUAAUCUUCCCCCACACUUAAACUAAAUAACACAAACUCACAGAAAUCAACCAAAUAACACAACUAACUAAACAAAACAAAAUGAAAGCAGUAAAGAUAAGGGUGGAAGAAUGCAAAGCUGAUUGGGUUAGUGAUUCCAAAGUCUCCCUUCGUUGAAUGCUUGGGUUGCCUCCCAAGAAGCGCUUGAUUUAACGUCUUUAGCCGGACGCAUCUUUCCUUUAAAUUUCUCUCGGCUCCAUUUGAACCUAAAAUCAAAGAAAGAAAAAUAAAUCAAAAUAUCAAAAGUAAAAUACACAAAACACCAAUAUAAACAUAAACAAAAACAAAAAUAAAAGGAUUAGCAAAGUUACUAAUCCCCGGCAACGGCGCCAAAAUUUGAUGCGUGAAUUACUUAACACACAAAUUAAACCCUCUUGUUGACAAUUGUAGUAUAGAUGUAAGUAGGGUAUCGUUCUAGGCCGGGGAUUAGGAGGGAUUGCUAAUCUAUUCUAAAUUAAUUUAAAAAUAUUAAACAAGACUCAAGGACACAAAACUAGGCUAAAAACUCUAAUAACUCGAAACACACUUAAAAUGACUCAAAAUAAUGAAAACAAUUAAAUUAAACACUAGGAACUGAAAUGGACGGAAAUUAAAUUAAAAGACUAACAAUAAAGAAAACUAAAUAAAUAAUAUAAUUUAAUAAUGGAUGGGUGUUUGGUUUUGAUGAAAAAUAAAUUAAACUUAAUUAAAUUACAGAAUUGACAAAAACAUGAAAUUAAGGUGAAAUGAUAAAUGACGGACUAGCUAGAGGGUUCUUCUCCACACAUGUUAUACUUGCAUACAAAAUGAUUUCCAGUUGUUCUUUUAAUAAAUUGUAAAUUUCAAUACUCCAGAUUAACCGUGAACAGCACUUUUUUAAUCUUCAAGUUUUCCUUAAGUUAUUGAAUUGGACGGGAAAACGCAUACACAAUUCAAAACAUUCUUCAAAAGUCCCCUACGUGAAAAGCACAAUAGAGAUACAAUCAAAGAUCAUUAAACUUUGUGAAAACUAUAAGCAUUGACGAGGCAUUCGUAACUAUGAAAAGCAUGAUACUCUUGCCAAGAAUUUACUUAACGUGAUUGUGACUAGCAACCUUUACUACUUGUGAAAAUAAGUUCAUAACGAUUAGGUGAAAUUCACUUAUAUUCUAGCAUCAAAUUCAUGCAUGUAAAUUAAGCGUGCACUCUCAACCAACAUACACAAAUCAGUUUUUAUACGAACGGAUAAGUAAAUUGAAUUCACAACUUAUAAAUCACAACUGAAGGUAAUCAAUUCAUAUUACAAAUAUAAUCAUGGUUUCGAAUUAACCUCUAACCAACAUAAAUUUAAUUACACAUUAUUAAAAACAGAAAUAAAAGAGAAGUUUGGAAAAAUUAAACCGAAAGUAAAACAUAAGUUGGAAAGAUUUAACCGAGAGAGAGAAGGCUUGCAGCUUCUGUCCACCUGACGUUGUCUCUGUCCUCCUCCCAUCCGCGCUACUCUCUCCUCCCGUCCGCGCAAGCUUUCUGUUUUUCAAGGCUGCAAGGGCAGCUUUUUCUUCUCUGACCCUCUCUUGGCUGUCCCGUAUAUAUUCCUCUGCAUGCCUUCCAAUCCCGUGCCUGCUGUCCUUUCCCACGCUGGUUCUCAAAACUCUCACGCUG
RNAcentral lists this long non-coding RNA (6771 nucleotides) under Malus domestica (apple). RNAcentral's name for it is "long non-coding RNA (MDOM_LNC007659)". The record is from RNAcentral. Lineage: Eukaryota; Viridiplantae; Streptophyta; Magnoliopsida; Rosales; Rosaceae.